Molecule: unclassified non-coding RNA, 220 nt
Filed under: Hevea brasiliensis (rubber tree)
Lineage: Eukaryota; Viridiplantae; Streptophyta; Magnoliopsida; Malpighiales; Euphorbiaceae
Source: RNAcentral
UAGGAACUGUGAGAGGGUGAAAUUGAGGGCUGCAUUCAGUCAUCAACAUCAAACGCCUCACAUGCCCCACCCUCUGACCCUGCCCCUUUUGUCAGGACGUUGGCGGAAGCGGCCCACUGCCUCCCAACGCUGGCAAAGCAAUGCAUGGGAAAAAAGAUAAACAGAAAAGAGAAAGAAGGAGCGAGAAAUCAAAGGGCCUGUUCAGACCAAGUCUGUCCAA